This 88-nucleotide transfer RNA is filed under the name Coriobacteriaceae bacterium BV3Ac1. It matches the Rfam family "tRNA". Rfam says of the family: Transfer RNA (tRNA) molecules are approximately 80 nucleotides in length. Their secondary structure includes four short double-helical elements and three loops (D, anti-codon, and T loops). Further hydrogen bonds mediate the characteristic L-shaped molecular structure. tRNAs have two regions of fundamental functional importance: the anti-codon, which is responsible for specific mRNA codon recognition, and the 3' end, to which the tRNAs corresponding amino acid is attached (by aminoacyl-tRNA synthetases). tRNAs cope with the degeneracy of the genetic code in two manners: having more than one tRNA (with a specific anti-codon) for a particular amino acid; and 'wobble' base-pairing, i.e. permitting non-standard base-pairing at the 3rd anti-codon position. The record is from Rfam by way of RNAcentral. Lineage: Bacteria; Bacillati; Actinomycetota; Coriobacteriia; Coriobacteriales; Coriobacteriaceae.
GGAGAGCUGGCCGAGUGGCUGAAGGCGCACGCCUGCUAAGCGUGUAUAGGGCUUAACCCUAUCUGGGGUUCAAAUCCCCAGCUCUCCG